This is a long non-coding RNA of Thalassophryne amazonica, 2151 nucleotides long. RefSeq lists it as uncharacterized. Lineage: Eukaryota; Metazoa; Chordata; Actinopteri; Batrachoidiformes; Batrachoididae. The record is from RefSeq and is a predicted model, not a curated record. The transcript has 2 exons.
GCCACAAUUUGUGCAAUUUGAGAAUAAGAAAAUUCUGAUGAGUGAGCUUUUGGUCGUGUGUGUGAAUUGUGCUUUGUAGCAAACGUCACUGAAGCUAUCCUGAACCUGAACUUUACAGGGGUCAUAGUUUGAAAAUGUUUUUAAUCCCCUUUUAUGGUUGGGGUUUUGUGUUAAGCAUGCUAAAAAAAAAAAACACUUUUAUAAAUGUGUAUGUAGAAACAACACUGCUGUUAAAAGUUUGGUUUUAAAUGGCUAUGGGUACAGUUCCGUGACGUAUGUCACAGGACUCCAUGUCUGAACUGAGAUGUCAACAUGGACUGAGAGACAGACACAAAUAGGGGCGUGCCAAUUCAAAAAAGCAGUUCUCACACAUGGCUGAGCUCAGCACAAAGUUCUCCAGACUGGCAUUUUUUUUUACAGCUCAUGAAUGGCUCAGUGUACCGCUGGGCCAAGUUGAAAAAUUUCGGUUCGACCCGUACCGGUUUGAGCGUGUUCAAAGUUUUCGGUAAUUCCGCUGGACUCCCGGCUGCCACGGCACGUGCUUGGCUGAAGGUGGUCUGGCCCAGAUGCUGCAAUUUUCACACCAAGCAGAGGAAGAGUUAACUCAAAAGGAUGAGUUUCUUAUUUAAUUUUGCAACAUUCUGGCUGUGUCCUUUGAGUUUUUAGGAUAGUUUUUUUGUUGUUGCUUCUGUUAGCUUGAUGAAAAUGUGCAACAAGACCCCUUUAAAAAGUUUUAUUGUGAAGUUGUAGUCCCUUUUGAUUUUUCACUGAAUUUACUUUGUGUUCCUUGAAAAAAUCUUGAGUAAACUGAAGAAAGGCAGAAGUGAGCCCCCUCUCCCCAAUCUAUAAUGUUGCCACAGAAAGUGUUAUGGCGUGUUGUUUCUGUAUUUUAACCCCACAUGGUCAAAAUUCCAAGUAUCUUACAGUCGAGAUGAGUUUUGAUCAUAUUGGUGAUAUAAAAAUGUGAGUUCUUUAUUUGUAUACCAAGAAGUAAACCCAUAAUGCUGAAUAUAAAUCCUGUUUGACCUGUAAAUCAUAAGAAAUCUAAAGGGACUCCAGCUUUAAUCAACAUUUUGCCCAGGUUUGGAAAUCUGCCACUUUUUGCAAACCCUUUGUUACAUGAAUUUGUAUUUUUUUUUUUUUUUUUUUUUACAGAUGUGAAUGUAAAUAUGUCUUUCCCCGCUAGAGGGUCACCUGUACGGUACAUAACUGUGUGUUUUACGUGGAGCAUCAUGGGAGCACGUUGGUGUUCCUCUGUGUACUGUCUGGAACCCCCCCCAUUACUACCGCUUGAAGAGACUGAAGCUGUAACUGAGUAUGACCUUUGACCCCUUCCCGAGUGUCACCGUAUUAUCCGCAGCAGUCUCACUGUUUAUCUGAAACGACACUCGACUUGUAAGUAUAUGUUGUGAUGUCAGAUUUUCUCAGCUGGAACCUUCUUUGCACUGUGCUGUAAUUCUAAUCCCAGCAUACACGACGUGAUUGGACGACUGCACCGCGACCUAUGCAUGCUCCAUGCACACCAUUUAAUACAUUUAAACCUGUAACCUGUAAAUAUAUGAAGGUGGCUAAGCAGUGUGCGUGGUAAGCACCCAGCCUCGCCACAGUUGGUUUGGCUGAAAUGCCUUCUGGAACUUUUUUUUUCCCAAAAAUGAUACAGUAUGCCCUACCAGCAACUUACUGUUGGUGUGAUUAUUAUUAUUAUUAUUGUUGUUUUUAGAAUUGUUUUUACUAGACCAAGAUUUUAAGUUAUAUUAACUGCACUCUGUAGAGAUAAAAGUAGUCCUAAAAUCCUGUCUAGGUUUUGUUUUUUGUACUGCCAGGGCAUUGACAUUGUUCUCAGUCUCACUGGUUCACUUGCACCCUCUGGUGGAGGAAACUAGAAGCUGUAACCCCCAGGCGGCCUCAGUUUGAGCGCUCUGGUGUCAGAAUAUUUGACAAAAUCUUUCUCCCGCGCCGUGCAUGUGUCUCUGAGGAGUGGGAGCUGCUGUUUGCACCAACACAAAGACGUCUACGUUAUACUGUGUAUCCGCGACAAACCGAUUUGGUUCUACGAAAAGAGACGGAAAAACAUAAAGGGAAAACAGCUGUGACACUACAAGACAGCCUGGAUGUAAAUAAAGAAGCGCUUGCCAAAGUUUGUAAAUGCCA